This 408-nucleotide ribosomal RNA is filed under the name uncultured bacterium. RNAcentral's name for it is "partial 16S ribosomal RNA". It matches the Rfam family "Bacterial small subunit ribosomal RNA", at positions 28 to 526 of the family's 1533-position model. The record is from RNAcentral.
GACGAACGCUGGCGGCGUGCUUAACACAUGCAAGUCGAACGAAGUGGCGAACGGGUGAGUAAUACGUGGGUAACCUGCCCUCCUUUCUGGGAUAAGCCUUGGAAACGGGGUCUAAUACCGAAUAAAGGGGGCUGGGCUUGCGGCCUUUCCGCUUGUUGGUGGGGUGAUGGCCUACCAAGGCGGUGACGGGUCGCCGGCCUGAGAGCGUGAACGGCCACAUUGGGACGGUGAUACGGCCCACACGCCUACGGGAGGGGACGAUGGGGGAUAUUGCACAAUGGGGGGAAGCCUGCAGCAGCGACGCCGCGUGGGGGGUGCGGGCUUUCGGGUUGUAAACUUCUUUCGCUACAGAAAGGGUAGGUGGAAAAGAAGCGACGGCUGAGUACGUGCCAGGCGCCGCGGUAAUUC